GACAGAGGGGGCAAGCGUUGCUCGGAAUUACUGGGCGUAAAGGGCGCGUAGGCGGGAUGGCAAGUCGGUCGUGAAAUCCCUCGGCUCAACUGAGGAGCGUCGAUCGAAACUGCCGUUCUUGAGGGUUGCAGAGGAGACUGGAAUUCCCGGUGUAGCGGUGAAAUGUGUAGAGAUCGGGAGGAACACCGGUGGCGAAGGCAGCUCGCUGGGACGGUACUGACGCUGAGGCGCGAAAGCCAGGGGAGCAAACGGG
RNAcentral lists this ribosomal RNA (253 nucleotides) under uncultured bacterium. Its description in RNAcentral is "partial 16S ribosomal RNA". It matches the Rfam family "Bacterial small subunit ribosomal RNA", at positions 524 to 776 of the family's 1533-position model. The record is from RNAcentral.